RNAcentral lists this ribosomal RNA (253 nucleotides) under uncultured bacterium. RNAcentral's name for it is "partial 16S ribosomal RNA". It matches the Rfam family "Bacterial small subunit ribosomal RNA", at positions 524 to 776 of the family's 1533-position model. The record is from RNAcentral.
UACGUAGGGUGCGAGCGUUGUCCGGAAUUAUUGGGCGUAAAGGGCUCGUAGGCGGUUUGUCGCGUCGGGAGUGAAAACACCGGGCUUAACUCGGUGCUUGCUUUCGAUACGGGCAGGCUAGAGGCAUGCAGGGGAGAACGGAAUUCCUGGUGUAGCGGUGAAAUGCGCAGAUAUCAGGAGGAACACCGGUGGCGAAGGCGGUUCUCUGGGCAUGUCCUGACGCUGAGGAGCGAAAGCAUGGGGAGCGAACAGG